AGUGGCGGACGGGUGAGUAACGCGUGGGUAACCUGCCUCAUACAGGGGGAUAACAGUUAGAAAUGACUGCUAAUACCGCAUAAGACCACAGCACCGCAUGGUGCAGGGGUAAAAACUCCGGUGGUAUGAGAUGGACCCGCGUCUGAUUAGGUAGUUGGUGGGGUAACGGCCUACCAAGCCGACGAUCAGUAGCCGACCCGAGAGGGUGACCGGCCACAUUGGGACUGAGACACGGCCCAA
Molecule: ribosomal RNA, 240 nt
Filed under: uncultured bacterium
Lineage: Bacteria
Description: partial 16S ribosomal RNA
Rfam family: Bacterial small subunit ribosomal RNA
Source: RNAcentral